Molecule: ribosomal RNA, 255 nt
Filed under: uncultured bacterium
Lineage: Bacteria
Description: partial 16S ribosomal RNA
Rfam family: Bacterial small subunit ribosomal RNA
Source: RNAcentral
UACGAAGGGGGCUAGCGUUGCUCGGAAUCACUGGGCGUAAAGGGUGCGUAGGCGGGUCUUUAAGUCGGGAGGUGAAAUCCUGGAGCUCAACUCCAGAACUGCCUUUGAUACUGAAAGCUCGAGUCCGGGAGAGGUGAGUGGAACUGCGAGUGUAGAGGUGAAAUUCGUAGAUAUUCGCAAGAACACCAGUGGCGAAGGCGGCUCACUGGCCCGGAUACUGACGCUGAGGCACGAAAGCGUGGGGAGCAAACAGGG